This 527-nucleotide ribosomal RNA is filed under the name uncultured bacterium. RNAcentral describes it as "partial 16S ribosomal RNA". It matches the Rfam family "Bacterial small subunit ribosomal RNA", at positions 355 to 874 of the family's 1533-position model. The record is from RNAcentral.
GGGGGAAUUUUGGACAAUGGGCGAAAGCCUGAUCCAGCAAUGCCGCGUGUGUGAAGAAGGCCUUCGGGUUGUAAAGCACUUUUGUCCGGAAAGAAAUCCUUGGCUCUAAUACAGUCGGGGGAUGACGGUACCGGAAGAAUAAGCACCGGCUAACUACGUGCCAGCAGCCGCGGUAAUACGUAGGGUGCAAGCGUUAAUCGGAAUUACUGGGCGUAAAGCGUGCGCAGGCGGUUUGCUAAGACCGAUGUGAAAUCCCCGGGCUCAACCUGGGAACUGCAUUGGUGACUGGCAGGCUAGAGUAUGGCAGAGGGGGGUAGAAUUCCACGUGUAGCAGUGAAAUGCGUAGAGAUGUGGAGGAAUACCGAUGGCGAAGGCAGCCCCCUGGGCCAAUACUGACGCUCAUGCACGAAAGCGUGGGGAGCAAACAGGAUUAGAUACCCUGGUAGUCCACGCCCUAAAACGAUGUCAACUAGUUGUUGGGGAUUCAUUUCCUUAGUAACGUAGCUAACGCGUGAAGUUGACCGCCU